UCAGAUUAAAUGGAAUGCUACACAAAUUUUAACUUUCACUUAUCAACCUUCUUCCUUCCUGGGCUCCUUUCUCUUCUCUGAGGGGCCCUUUUGGAGGCUUGCAUUGGGAAGGAUCUUGAACAAUACGAUAAGAAUUUUUAACUUUGUCCUAAAGAUUAUGAGAAGCAGGAGAGUCAGGAACAGAUUCCAGGACUUGGAAUCUUGGCCUCUUCAUUGCUAUCUUCCACUCUGUCUAACAAACCCUGUUGUAGCCUGCCCUGGAAAUCCCAUCUUAUCAAGACUUAGAGACAAACAAAAGCUGAAAGAAUUCAUCACCAGAAGUCAUCACUAUGAGAAAUAUUACGGGAAGUCCUGCAGCCAGAAGGAAAAUGAAACCAGAUGGAAAUAUGGAUCCUCACAAUGGAAUGAGAAAUACCAGAAAUGGCAACUACAUGGGUAAAUGUGC
RNAcentral lists this long non-coding RNA (445 nucleotides) under Equus caballus (horse). RNAcentral's name for it is "lncRNA (ENSECAG00000041122.2)". The record is from RNAcentral. Lineage: Eukaryota; Metazoa; Chordata; Mammalia; Perissodactyla; Equidae.